RNAcentral lists this long non-coding RNA (232 nucleotides) under Ananas comosus (pineapple). RNAcentral's name for it is "long non-coding RNA (ACOM_LNC013605)". Lineage: Eukaryota; Viridiplantae; Streptophyta; Magnoliopsida; Poales; Bromeliaceae. The record is from RNAcentral.
ACCAUUUUUCAGGUAUUGUGGGCAGUGAGGGUUGAGACGAGACGUGAGAUACGUUCGUAGCGGUCGAUAGAGCUUCCGACCCAGGUUAUUCGGUUUAGUUUCCACCCUUACUAUUCUGUUGAUAUAGCUUAGAUAGUUUAUAUAGUUCAGUACUUUUAUUACAUUUGAAAAUGUGGGUUUUCAUGAAUGUAAUAAAAGGAUUUGUGAAUUUUGUGAAAUGGAAAAUGGUUUU